Molecule: ribosomal RNA, 405 nt
Filed under: uncultured bacterium
Lineage: Bacteria
Description: partial 16S ribosomal RNA
Rfam family: Bacterial small subunit ribosomal RNA
Source: RNAcentral
GAUGAACGCUGGCGGCGUGCCUAAUACAUGCAAGUCGAGCGAAGCGGGGACGGGUGAGUAACACGUGGAUAACCUCCUAUAAGACUGGGAUAACUUCGGGAAACCGGAGCUAAACCGGAAACUUAUAGAUGGAUCCGCGCUGCAUUAGCUAGUUGGUAAGGUAACGGCUUACAAAGGCAACGAUGCAUAGCCGACCUGAGAGGGUGAUGGGCCAUACUGUACCUGAGACACGGUCCAGACUCCUAAGGGAGGCAGCAGUAGAGAAUCUUCCGCCAUGGGCGAAAGACUGACGGAGCAACGCCGCGUGAGUUAUGAAGAUCUUCGGAUCGUAAAACUCUGUUAUUAGGGAAGCGGUACCUAAUCAGAAAGCCACGGCUAACUGCGUGCCAGAAGCCGCGGUAAUUG